Molecule: long non-coding RNA, 334 nt
Filed under: Cyanistes caeruleus (blue tit)
Lineage: Eukaryota; Metazoa; Chordata; Aves; Passeriformes; Paridae
Description: lncRNA (ENSCCEG00000013008.1)
Source: RNAcentral
UUUUUUUAUAGACACUGGAAAUCAGGAAGAUGUAGAGGCAGCAUGGACAGAAGCUUAAUAAAGUAAUUGCUUUAUUCAAGUCUUGUCAGGCAGUGGGAAGCUGAGCAACCUUUUUGGAGAAAACCACCAGGCAGUACCUGCUCCCUACACAGAGCAAUAUCACCUGAUGGAUCCAAGGGCUGCACAGAGCUCUCCAGGGAAAAACUACCUGCUGCAAUUCAGACUGCUACUAACUGAGCGGAUUCAAGGCCACAUUGUUCCCGCCCUCCACUCAAGCGACCUAUCUACAAAACAGCUGAAUUAAUAACAAAAAUAAAAGGAGAAAGACAUCCCA